This 296-nucleotide ribosomal RNA is filed under the name uncultured bacterium. Its description in RNAcentral is "partial 16S ribosomal RNA". It matches the Rfam family "Bacterial small subunit ribosomal RNA", at positions 355 to 644 of the family's 1533-position model. The record is from RNAcentral.
UAGGGAAUCUUCCACAAUGGACGCAAGUCUGAUGGAGCAACGCCGCGUGAGUGAAGAAGGUUUUCGGACCGUAAAGCUCUGUUGUUGGUGAAGAAGGAUAGAGGUAGUAACUGGCCUUUAUUUGACGGUAAUCAACCAGAAAGUCACGGCUAACUACGUGCCAGCAGCCGCGGUAAUACGUAGGUGGCAAGCGUUGUCCGGAUUUAUUGGGCGUAAAGCGAGCGCAGGCGGAAGAAUAAGUCUGAUGUGAAAGCCCUCGGCUUAACCGAGGAAUUGCAUCGGAAACUGUUUUCUUG